This 809-nucleotide long non-coding RNA is filed under the name Astyanax mexicanus (Mexican tetra). Its description in RNAcentral is "lncRNA (ENSAMXG00005011007.1)". The record is from RNAcentral. Lineage: Eukaryota; Metazoa; Chordata; Actinopteri; Characiformes; Acestrorhamphidae.
AGAGCUCAUACUGACCUUCAGUGAUGUUUUUUUUGGGUAGGCUACCUCCUGAUGAGAGUUGGCUGGUUGGUGGACCUGCCUCUGGACUCUGGGGUGGUCGGUCUUCUGUUCUGAGAGCAGCAGCAGCUUCUCAGCAAUCAGAAUCCAGACGAGUUUAAAAGCGUUUGUACACUCUGCUGCUGCUGCUGCUGCUGCUGCUGAAUAGAGGCUGUAAAAAGGUGUGUAUUGUAGUGCAGACCUCUAUAAGCUGAACGCUCCUCGGGUCAGUACAGUCGCCCGUACUCAGACUCAGCCUUGGAUAAGAACACCGUUCCUCCGCCCGGAGACCGGCCCCGGAUAAAACCAGACGACCUUCAUCAAAGAAGAGAGAAAUAAUCUGAAAAGCAGGAGAGAGAACUGAAAAGAAACUGAACAAACCCUGAAACGCCUGCUUUAAAACCAUGCAGAUGCUCCUCUGACUGUACCAGCAAGUUCAGAAUCUCCAUAUAUAAUAUAUUUACUGUGUAAAGCGAUAGGAAAAUACAUUAACCUGUAAAAAAUGAAGAGAGCACUUCAGUUUCUGAAUCAGUUCCUCUGAUUUUAAGAGUUCAGAAAUUAAUAUUUGGUGGAAUAACCCUGCUUGGUUUUUAAUCACAGUUUUCAAUCAUGCAUCUUGGCAUCAUGUUCUCCUCCACCAGUCUUACACACUGCUUUUGGUUCAUUACAAUUCAAGCAGUUCAGUUUGAUUUGAUGCCUUGUGAUCAUCCAUCUUCCUCUUGAUUAUACCUCUGAUAAAUAAAGUACAGGCUGAAUUAUCUACUGUUUUUCUC